UUUAUCAAGUCCGCCAAAAGAAAAAACUAUUUUAAUAAAAUUCUUUUAAUAAACCAUUUUUCUCCUUAAGCUUGAACUUACUUUCUUCCAAAACAAAAAAAAGAAGCUUAAACCUACGCCCUAAAUCGCUAAAUCCCUAAAUCUGUUAGCUGUGUGGGACUUUCAAUUGACGGGCGACGUGGAAUCAUCGACUAUCUGGUAGCUCUGUGGGAUCUGGUAGCUGGUAAUAAAUGGGAGGGCUAUUCAAGAUAUGUGAAUUUGGAUGGAGUUCAUAUGACUGUAAGUUAUUCUAUCUAAAUGUGUUUGAUGUGGUAAUCUAAUUGUGUGUUGGAUUGAAUUUUUUGUGUCGCGGUAUGUUGUAUGCGCUGGGUUUAUCAGAAAUAGUCGGUAGGUUCUUAGUCAUUAAUGAUUCAAUUGUACCUAAGUAGCUACAGAACAAUUGGCAAUCUUAGAUGAAGCUAUGACUUAUGAAUAUUAGCUCUUAUUUUCUGAUUUAUCGAAAGAUGCAGAUGAUUUCAUAUACCCAUCCCAGCUAGUUUAGGUUUAAGGCAUAGUGUUUGUUGAAAAUAAACAAGAAGUGCACAAUAUUGAGGAUCUCUUUUUACAUCUUGCUAGCGUGAGUUCUUAUAUGCACAACAAUUUAUUCAAUUUAUUGGUGAUUCUCUGAAAAAAUUAUGUUAAUGGAGAUAUAUAGUCCCUGAAUAGCUAAUGUUUUGUUCACUGUCUAUGGCUUUCUAUGUGAUAAAGAUUGAUCUAUGUUCGAUUCUAUUGCAGAGGAUCUUAUCUGCAGAGAUAUCCCAGGGUGGUUAGAAUAUUUAGUUGACUUUAGUGGUCUGCGUGUAAACUUUACAAGUGAUGGGGGGUUGUAGAAUUGUUCCUGAGGCUUGCUCAUUUCCCUCAAGAGUAUCUGACUCCAAGAAGAUCCUCCAACCUCAAUGAUAACUUGCCUGUAAAUUCAAUAUUAGAAAUUGUAAGAAGUACCCAAAGUUAUGGAGGUUUCAGAAUCAUUUUUGAAGGGUAAUCUUUGCAUUGUCUGCUUUUCUUAUCCUCCUUCAAGGUCAAUUUGUAGGAUCUCUACGGGCUACCCAGUUUUCAGAACUAGAAUUAGAAUUCCAAACAUAAGAAAUCAACUUGUCUUGGUUUUAUUUUUCUAUUAGCACAUAUAUCUUUCCACCAUUACAUAGUCAUGACUGUCCGAAUUAUUCUGCAGUUGUUUGAUAUGGUUGUAGGUUAAUGCUUCCUGUAUAUGGUCUGACAUUUACUUGGAAACUUUUCUUAGCCUCUUGGAGGUGUUUCAUAUCUCACAUCUAAUGUGCUCUAGUUGGAGGUCAGAGUUUAGUAAAUGCUUUCUGACUUUUGGUAAAAAUAAGCAUUUGGCGACUGAUGAGUAUUUUAGAUAAUAUCUUCUGUUUGACAUUCAUCUUAGCACCUUUUACUUUCAGUUUCUAUUCCUUACUCUUCACUAAUCUCUUCCGCAUUAUAUCUCGUGUACGUAAAACCUUGCGUAGUUUUUUUGAUGACAUUGGGUGGUUACAACAAGAUCCUGAAAUGGCUCCUGUUGUUGGUGGUUCAGCUAGAUUUAGAGAACUACUAUAAGAUAUUAGGUAAAAUGUUGGAUCUUGCUUGUCAUGCUGGAAAUAGAAACAAAGUCAGAUACUAUCCUUAAAAUUAUAGUCUCCCAAAAUAAAGAGCACAUAUCUUGUCAAUGGUGAGUGGUUAGUCCUUUUUCCAUUUUCUAUCAAUUGAGAUAGGUGUUUAAUGAUUUGAAUACUAAGCCGUACCAACUGCAGACAAUUAAACCAUCUUAGCAGAUGAGAUUCUUUACUAGGUGUUGCCAUGUUUCAUGGUUCUGAGCUGGUUGGUUGUUAAUUUUGAGCUUAUUAUUAUUUUUGCAUCACUGAUAAUAAAAAAAUGUCAGUAGUAAAAGAACAUAAGUGUGACGCCCCGCGUCACCACCCAUUAAAUUCAUCCCGUUUUGGGCACAAUUCCGAGCGUUUCGGGCACAUUUCGGAGCCCGACGGGGCUCCCACAACGUCUCGUGACAAGGCCAACGUGGGGGCAUCUUUGGGAGGUCAAAAUACAAGCUCGGGUCUACAUUUAUGGGGCUUUGGAGCCUUGACCAGCUGGGCAGUGACUGCACAACAAAAACAGCAUACUAGACAAGGGCCUUUCUCCUAGUUCAUAGUUUGCAUGCCCAAAGGUAGUAAUGUUGACUAAGCAUUUAUUGUAUCCCUUGACUAAGGGGCAUUAUAUAUACCUUGUAAGGCCCUCUUGGGCAGAUCAUAUACUUGUUUUUACUCAAGCAAUAUAAUCAGAAAAUUGGCUCUUCGGGCCUCCCAAAACCGAGUGUCUUUCUUGCUAUUUUCCUUUCGAGUUUGUGUGAGUGUUCAAAGGUUCUUGGGGACGAAUUUAGAGCGGGUUUAGGACUGAGUUUAGCAUCGAUAUCACGAGUGUUAGGCUGUCCGCACGCGGCUAAAAUUAGGCCCGUGACAUAAGGUACAUAUGAAUUUAGCUGGUCAGUUGUAAACAGCUGAUUGAAUGGAAUGAUAUAACUGUACUUUUAGUAGGAGAAUGAUUGGUCUAAAGCUUAGAUCAAACUUCCCGAUCUUUGUAGUUCCAUCUUCAAAAAUUUACCAGGAAGCUAAGAUCCACAUGUACUAACAUAUGAAAACAUGAAGGAUCGAACCUCUAUAUAUGGAUCUUUUAAGUGAAUCUCUUCCUUGUUCACUUGUGAUACACUGGUGUAGAUGCUAAUUUCUUAAUUUCACUUCUUUCAAGUAAAAGUUCAUUAUUUAGCCUUUAACUUGCAAGUAAGCUCAGUUGAAGUUACUGGAGCUCGUGCAUCUGUGAGUUCUAAGGUUCAGUCUCUUCUGAAAGACAUUAAAGAGGUGCAUUUUAAGCUUCUUAUAUUUUCCUCGUUGAUCCUUCAUAUUCUUAAUGCUAAGCUGAUAUAUCUUACAGUCUCAUUUACUCUGUGAUGGCCUUCAAAGUUUGGUAUGUUGGGCAAAGAUACAACUCUCAGCAUGCUAGACCUUUCUCUCAAAUUAUGCCAAGAAGAAUAAUGAAAAUUCAAACUCUUAAUUGCAGAGUCAAUUGUGCUUCACUAGCUUUUCUAAACUUCAGAUAUUUGCUUCUCUUUGGUUUUUUUUCUAAAAUUUCCAUCCAAAUGAUCAGGAUUAGCUAAUAUUCAACCAACUUGUGCCACAUCUGUUUACAAACGGGUCGAAAAUAUUAUUUAGUUCCGUUUGAGUUGUUUGGAAAAGUAGGCCAUGAUUCUCCAUUUCACAAGGAUUUACCAAGAUUAGAUGCACCCAAUUUCUACUAUGUUCAGGAAUGAACAUUGUUGGAACAUUUUGUGUUUAUGCUCUAUCAUCUUAAUUUGUUUAUCUGAUUUUGAGUAUUUGAAAUGUGACUUUUGAGUAAAAUAAAAGAAAGAAUUUUGAAUGUUUUGGUCUCAAAUCAAAGGAUUGGUGACUAAACAUAUGAGGUUUAAGUACAAUAAAAUAAAGAAUUUUGAGUGAACUUUCAAACAACCCAGUCAUCAUAUCUUCUGAUUUUUGUUUCACUAAAAUUUCCCUCUUCUGUGCUGUACUAUGUGUUUGUGUGAUAUCUCGUUACUUGAGCCGGGGGUCUUUCGGAAACAGCCUUUCUACCUCAGCAGAGGUAGAGGUAUGGUCUGCGUACAUCUUACCCCCCCCCAGACCCCACGUAAGUGGGAAUACACUGGGUUUGUUGUUGUUGUUGUUGUUGAGUGUUGCAGUCUCAAAUCAAAGGAUAAGUGAAGUGACAUAUGACUUUUUAAGUAAAAUAGAAGAAAGAUUUUGAAUAUUUAGGUCCUAACUCUCUUUUUUCUUCUCAACAGGAGAUUGCUUAAUCUUCUUUUGCAUUUUCUUAGCAGCACACAACGGCAUCCUAUGUCAAUGAUGUAGGCUAAAGAAAAAAGAAAACAACUUUUAAGAAACUAUAUUUACCUAAUAAAAAAAAAAAGGAAGUAAAGAACUUUUAAUUGCUUAUAAUGUGUACAAAUCAUGUGAAUGGCACAGAUUGAAGCAAAAAAUCAUUGUACAAGUCUGACCAGGUUGCUUAUUGACCAGAUUAGCCAGCAGCAAGGAAGAGUAGUGGCUCUUGAAGGUGCACUUUGUUCUCGUGUGUAAUCUUUUCUUUCUUUUUUUGCGUCCUCUUUCUAACUACGUGAGAAAUGGAUUUUUUUCCUGCAUUCGACAAAUGGAGCUAUUGGAAGUCCUGUAUCUUGAAAAUUAUAUGUAAGUUUUCGUCCUAUCGUACAUGAGUUGGGUGAAAAAAUGAACACAUGAAGUGCUAGGACCAAGAGUGCCAGCAAUUAAAGGCUCUUGUUCAGGAUUUUGAAAGUAAAUUCAGAAACUCCUCUUCCUUCUUUCAGCUUUUUGUCAUAUGAAUGUAUGCCGGUAAAAAUCAUACCUAUUGUACGUGAUAAAUAAAGAUAUGUUAAGUGUCAAUGUGUCAGUUCACAUCAUGGAGUAAAUAAUAUUAUGGGCUCUAAUUCUAGAUAUACUUAUGCCUACAAUAAAUAAAUAUACUCAUGCCUACAAGUAUUUGAACUUAUUUAUGUAUUUGAUGUUGUUAAUUUAUCUGUUACAGGCAAGGGCAUAAAAAAGUUGAUUGGAAAUUUGCAGGUUUACACACAUUCUCACAUCUUCAGUCAUGCUACCAACAUAUGUUGACCUUAAUUCUGUCAAAUGUUUGUUCAUUGCCUAAUUACUAUAUACACUAGAUGCCAGUGUCUUCUGUAGUUGUUAGUGGAAAGUUUAGUUUUUAGUUUCAUGGUCUAGAACAUAUUACGUGGAAAGUUAGAAUUGAAGUGACUAAAAAGGAAAGUGAUUCAAAGAAAAAAAGAUCGAAAGGAGUAAAGUAUAUAGAUAAUGGACAGAUAAAUUAUCUAUGAAUUAAUAAAACUUUACUCACUAUACAGGUUUUCCUUAAUGAUAUUGCAUUUAUUUGUUAAUUGAAUAUAUACAUACACCAUCAAAUCUACUACUUGGACCUUUUGAGUUCAUUUGUUGAGCAAAAAGUUUACCAACUGUUCUGAUUUGAAAGUGGUGCACUAAAGCUCUUGCUUUUAUUGUAUGAAGUCGUACUCUGCAUUUUGAAAGAUUAGGUUGGUUAUUGGUCAAUGUAUAGUAAUUACUUCUCCAAGGGAGUUUUGUGAGUCCCGAAUCAUGAAUGCAAUCUGGUUCAUGUCUUUUAUAUUUUUGUGUAAUGAGUUGACCGAUGCUAACCGUGCAGAUAUACAAUUGUAUUGCACGGAUGGAGCACAUUGAUCAUGCUCAUAAAUCUGCGCAGCAUUGUAUUAAAUCAUUGCUAACUACACACGCACACGUGAGUUAAUAAUAAAUAAAAGGCAUAAUAAGAGUGAUAUAGCAUACUUUUUUGCAGGUAAACUGAAGGGGGUUCUUCUUGAAAGUGGGAGUCCUGAGCUAUCAACCUGUCUUGGUUUUAUUUUUCUUUUGGUUUUAUUGUUUUCUCUUCCUCCUCCUCUUCAUCAUUUAUAGACUUGAGUAUCUUGGUCAUGUUCAUUCUCUGACUCAAUAACUCUAUACUCAUCCUCCUCAUCAUCAGGAAGACUUCUUGGAGCUGUGUUGAGAGUGCAGGGAACUUCUUGACCACUUUUUUGUAUCUGAGUAGAAGUAUCAGUAACAUUUGCAUCUUUUUGUUGUCUCUUAUUGAUGGCAUCUCUUUUGUUUUU
Molecule: long non-coding RNA, 5722 nt
Organism: Capsicum annuum
Lineage: Eukaryota; Viridiplantae; Streptophyta; Magnoliopsida; Solanales; Solanaceae
Exons: 2
Source: RefSeq, a predicted model, not a curated record